AUGAUUCUUAGGGUAAACCAAUACUUAUCACAAACAUCUUGGAAUUCGCAAAAUAUUGCCAAUUAUUUUCUGAAAAAUUAUUACCGAUUUACUCUGAAGAACUAUGCUAUUUGGGAACAUACUAGUUCAGAGAAGGCACUUACUUCUCAAGCAACGAAUACAUCCUCUUUAGAGCUUCUUCACAUGGAAGUUUUGGAUCGUCGACAAAGGAUGUGGCCUUGUUCUCUAGUUUCACCAGGUCCUGAUACUCAAAGGCGGCCUCUCUUAAUGCAUCAGUUUUGCUCUCUGGCCAAUCGAAAUGCUUUAGCACUGCUCUCUCAUCAACCUAAAAGAAAGGUUAAUUGA
RNAcentral lists this ribosomal RNA (345 nucleotides) under Triticum aestivum (bread wheat). RNAcentral describes it as "partial small subunit ribosomal RNA". Lineage: Eukaryota; Viridiplantae; Streptophyta; Magnoliopsida; Poales; Poaceae. The record is from RNAcentral.